This 662-nucleotide ribosomal RNA is filed under the name Phlegmacium ochribubalinum. RNAcentral's name for it is "eukaryotic LSU rRNA". The stretch from base 290 to 443 matches the Rfam family "5.8S ribosomal RNA". Lineage: Eukaryota; Fungi; Basidiomycota; Agaricomycetes; Agaricales; Cortinariaceae. The record is from RNAcentral.
GUAAAAGUCGUAACAAGGUUUCCGUAGGUGAACCUGCGGAAGGAUCAUUAUUGAAAUAAAUCUGAUGAGUUGCUGCUGGUUCUCUAGGGAGCAUGUGCACACUUGUCAUCUUUAUAUCUCUCCACCUGUGCAUUUUUUGUAGACCUGGAUAUCUCUCUGAAUGCUAGCCACUCAGGUUUGAGGAUUGACUUUAUGUCUCUCCUUACAUUUCCAGGCCUAUGUUCUUCAUAUACCCAAUGUAUGUUCCUAGAAUGUAAUAAAUGGGCUUUGUGUGCCUAUAAAGCUAUACAACUUUCAGCAACGGAUCUCUUGGCUCUCGCAUCGAUGAAGAACGCAGCGAAAUGCGAUAAGUAAUGUGAAUUGCAGAAUUCAGUGAAUCAUCGAAUCUUUGAACGCACCUUGCGCUCCUUGGUAUUCCGAGGAGCAUGCCUGUUUGAGUGUCAUUUAAUAUAUCAACCUCUUCAGCUUUUGCUUGUUGAGUGGUUGGAUGUGGGGGUCUCUUUUUUGUUGGUCUUCUCAGAUCAGCUCCCCUGAAAUGCAUUAGCGGAACAAUUUGUGGACCGUUCAUUGGUGUGAUAACUAUCUACGCUAUUGACGUGAAGCAGGUUUAGCUUCUAACAGUCCAUUGACUUGGACAAAUUCCAUUAAUGUGACCUCAAAUC